Molecule: ribosomal RNA, 370 nt
Filed under: uncultured Synechococcus sp.
Lineage: Bacteria; Bacillati; Cyanobacteriota; Cyanophyceae; Synechococcales; Synechococcaceae
Description: bacterial SSU rRNA
Rfam family: Bacterial small subunit ribosomal RNA
Source: RNAcentral
GACAGAGGAGGCGAGCGUUAUCCGGAGUCAUUGGGCGUAAAGGGUACGUAGGCGGCUAGUCAAGUCUGAGGUUAAAGACCACAGCUUAACUGUGGGAAGGCCUUGGAAACUGACUGGCUAGAGUGGGGCAGGGGUUGCGGGAAUUCCCGGUGUAGCGGUGAAAUGCGUAGAUAUCGGGAAGAACACCUGAGGCGAAAGCGCGCAACUGGGCCCUAACUGACGCUGAGGUACGAAAGCUAGGGGAGCGAAUGGGAUUAGAUACCCUGGUAGUCCACGCUGUAAACGAUGAAUGCUAGCCGUUGGGGUGCAUGCACCUCAGUGGCGCCGCUAACGCAUUAAGCAUUCCGCCUGGGGAGUACGGUCGCAAGAU